This 378-nucleotide ribosomal RNA is filed under the name uncultured bacterium. RNAcentral's name for it is "bacterial SSU rRNA". It matches the Rfam family "Bacterial small subunit ribosomal RNA", at positions 523 to 898 of the family's 1533-position model. The record is from RNAcentral.
AUACGUAGGGUGCAAGCGUUGUCCGGAAUUAUUGGGCGUAAAGAGCUCGUAGGCGGUUUGUCGCGUCUGCUGUGAAAAUCCAAGGCUCAACCUUGGACCUGCAGUGGGUACGGGCAAGCUAGAGUGCGGUAGGGGAGAUGGGAAUUCCUGGUGUAGCGGUGGAAUGCGCAGAUAUCAGGAGGAACACCAAUGGCGAAGGCACAUCUCUGGGCCGUAACUGACGCUGAGGAGCGAAAGCGUGGGGAGCGAACAGGAUUAGAUACCCUGGUAGUCCACGCCGUAAACGGUGGGUGCUAGUUGUGGGCCACAUUCCACGUGGUCUGUGACGAAGUUAACACAUUAAGCACCCCGCCUGGGGAGUACGGUCGCAAGACUAAA